RNAcentral lists this ribosomal RNA (276 nucleotides) under uncultured bacterium. RNAcentral describes it as "partial 16S ribosomal RNA". The record is from RNAcentral.
CUGCUGCCUUCCGUAGGAGUCUGGUCCGUGUCUCAGUACCAGUGUGGGGGACCUUCCUCUCAGAACCCCUACGCAUCGUCGGUUAGGUGGGCCGUUACCCCGCCUACUGCCUAAUGCGCCGCAUGCCCAUCCCUGUCCGGCCGAAGCCUUUUCCUGCCUCCGGGAUGCCCCGGUGGCAUGUACGCGGGUUUAGCCCGCCUUUCGGCGGGUUGUCCCCCUGACAGGGGCAGGUUGCAUACGUGUUACUCACCCGUGCGCCGGUCGCCGGCGGAGAAA